CCUACGGGAGGCAGCAGUGAGGAAUAUUGGUCAAUGGGCGCGAGCCUGAACCAGCCAAGUCGCGUGAGGGAAGACGGUCCUAUGGAUUGUAAACCUCUUUUGUCGGGGAGCAAAAGACGCCACGCGUGGCGUUCCGAGAGUACCCGAAGAAAAAGCAUCGGCAAACUCCGUGCCAGCAGCCGCGGUAAUAUGGAGGAUGCGAGCGUUAUCCGGAUUUAUUGGGUUUAAAGGGUGCGCAGGCGGAAGAUCAAGUCAGCGGUAAAAUUGAGAGGCUCAACCUCUUCGAGCCGUUGAAACUGGUUUUCUUGAGUGAGCGAGAAGUAUGCGGAAUGCGUGGUGUAGCGGUGAAAUGCAUAGAUAUCACGCAGAACUCCGAUUGCGAAGGCAGCAUACCGGCGCUCAACUGACGCUCAUGCACGAAAGUGUGGGUAGCGAACAGGAUUAGAUACCCCUGUAGUC
This 459-nucleotide ribosomal RNA is filed under the name uncultured bacterium. RNAcentral describes it as "partial 16S ribosomal RNA". It matches the Rfam family "Bacterial small subunit ribosomal RNA", at positions 338 to 795 of the family's 1533-position model. The record is from RNAcentral.